RNAcentral lists this ribosomal RNA (433 nucleotides) under uncultured bacterium. Its description in RNAcentral is "partial 16S ribosomal RNA". It matches the Rfam family "Bacterial small subunit ribosomal RNA", at positions 30 to 507 of the family's 1533-position model. The record is from RNAcentral.
AGCGAACGCUGGCGGCAUGCUUAACACAUGCCAGUCGCACGGGCAGCAAUGUCAGUGGCGGACGGGUGAGUAACGCGUAGGAACGUGUCCUGAGGUGGGGGACAACCCCGGGAAACUGGGGCUAAUACCGCAUAUGGGCUGAGGCCCAAAGCCGAGAGGCGCCUUGGGAGCGGCCUGCGUCCGAUUAGGUAGUUGGGGGGGUAAAGGCCUACCAAGCCUGCGAUCGGUAGCUGGUCUGAGAGGAAGACCAGCCACACUGGGACUGAGACACGGCCCAGACUCCUACGGGAGGCAGCAGUGGGUAAUAUUGGACAAUGGGCGAAAGCCUGAUACAGCAAUGCCGCGUGGGUGAAGAAGGUCUUCGGAUCGUAAAGCCCUUUCGACGGGGACGAUGAUGACGGUACCCGUAGAAGAAGCCCCGGCUAACUUCGUG